GACGAACGCUGGCGGCGUGCUUAACACAUGCAAGUCGUACGGUAAGGCCCUUUCGGGGGUACACGAGUGGCGCACGGGUGCGUAACACGUGCGUAACCUGCCCACAACUUUGGGAUAACGCUAGGAAACUGGUGCUAAUACUGGAUAUGUGCUCCUGCUUCAUGGUGGGGGUUGGAAAGCUCCGGCGGUUGUGGAUGGACUCGCGGCCUAUCAGCUUGUUGGUGGGGUAGUGGCCUACCAAGGCGGCGACGGGUAGCCGGCCUGAGAGGGUGACCGGCCACGUUGGGACUGAGAUACGGCCCAGACUCCUACGGGAGGCAGAAGUGGGGAAUAUUGCACAAGGGGCGCAAGCCUGAUGCAGCAACGCCGCGUGCGGGAUGACGGCCUUCGGGUUGUAAACCGCUUUCAGCAGGGACGAAGCUUUUUGUGACGGUACCUGCAGAAGAAGCACCGGCUAACUACGUG
Molecule: ribosomal RNA, 465 nt
Filed under: uncultured bacterium
Lineage: Bacteria
Description: partial 16S ribosomal RNA
Rfam family: Bacterial small subunit ribosomal RNA
Source: RNAcentral